Long non-coding RNA from Equus caballus (horse), 3004 nucleotides. RefSeq lists it as uncharacterized. Lineage: Eukaryota; Metazoa; Chordata; Mammalia; Perissodactyla; Equidae. The record is from RefSeq and is a predicted model, not a curated record.
AAAAAGAUUGGCAACAGAUGUUAGCCCAGGUGUCAGUCUUUAAAAAAAAAGAUUUACUUGGCAGGGAGACCCAGAAGGGGUUCUGUAGACUUGUAUUCUCUGCCAUCCUCCCUGGACUUACAUUGGGUGGAAGAUGUUUCCAAAUUAUGUAGGUUAAUAGUUCUAGGCUCAGCGUCCACCUAGAGAGUUUUAUCUUAGCGUAAAGUUUUUGGAUGCGUGCUUAUCACAUCUUCAUAACUUAAUAUCCUUUCAGGUUUAUGAUGAAAAACAGAAUCAAAACCAAAAGUAAUCAGAUAUUUAAAAAUAAAUGGGAUGAGUCGAACACAGCUACUCUGAUCACAGUUCAUGUGACAAAGACCUGGGGUUUCAAUUGUUUAUAAACAAACAUGAAACAUCAGACUGAUGGAGCAUCACUGGAAAUGCUCACAGGACUUCUUCCCCCUCCUUAUAGCCGCUGAUGUACAGAGGGGAAGAGGGAGCUGGCAAUCUGUAAUAAAGACCCCUGGCAAACACAUCUCUAGCCUCAUGGCUGAAGAUCUAAAGGGCUUGCAGUGGGCAAAGCAUAGCGUAUUUUGAGUGUGGGGUAGAGGGGGCAAGUUGGGAAGUGGCCAUGGUGAGACUGAGUAGGAGUGAAUGGGUAGGGUGGGGCUGGAUUGGGAAAGAGGCCUUAUGCCGUUCCAAGGAAUUUGGGUUUUGUUGGUCAGGCCAUGGCAAAUCAGUACCGGAUUCUAGAGAAGUGACAUGAUUCAUCAUCCACUCAUUCUUUCCUUCCUUUCCCUCCCACUCUCUCCUUCUCCCUUCUCUCCCCGCCUCCUUCCUUCCUGACUCUAGCAUCAGCAUUUAGGAUGGAUUGGAUCCAGAUGAGAGUGGCAGCUGGGGCCAGUUGGGAGUUGGCUUCUGGAGCCCAGAGCACAGGCAGUUUGGGCAUAAGCAUAGGUAGUGGCAAUGGUGGCAGAGUCUCUGAAGAACUCUGAGCUAUGUGGUCACAUAAUCAGAGGGAUGUAUUGGGAAGAUUGCUCUCCAGCAAUGCAGACAAAUGGGAUGGGAGCCAGACAGAAGGCAGGGAAACCAGUGCUGCAAUACUUCAAACAAAAGACACCAAACUGUGAACGAGGGCAGGGGCAGUAGGGGUGGAGGGCAUGGAAGGAAGAGCUGUUUAAGAAGGAUAGGACCUAGGGGUUGUUGGAUGGGUGGGUGAGGAAGGUGGAAUCUAGCAUGACUCAGAUGACUGACUUGGACCAGUGGGUGAAUGACCUGACACAAAGCAAGAUUGGGAAAACAGGAACGCAAAUGAAUUUGGAGGAGAAAGUGAAUUUUGUUUUUGAUACACUAAGGUUGAAGUUCCUUCCUGGAAGGCUCAGGUGAGAGGCCUAGUCACCAGAUGUCAGUGGGGGGGUCAUCAUCAAAUGGAUGCAGGUCAUGGGCUGGGAAGGUUUGCAGGGAAGACAUGGACCCCCAGGAAUGCCAAUACGUAAGGGCGAAUAGAGGAUAAAAGAGGCAGGAAAAGACAAGGAGAACCCAGGGAGGCAUGAAAAGAAUCUGGAAAGAGUGUUGUUAAUGACAAACAAAAGAGGAGAGUUUCAACAAGGAGCGGUUUACAGCAAGGAUAAGUCCAUGUGGGCCAGGAGUGGGUGGCCAUGACUGAGCAGCAGUGACGAUCCUUAGAAGUGAGUGGGUUUAGGAUCUUGAAGGGGAACAGAAGAUGCCACCCCAAAACGGGCCACUUUGGCAUCCAGAUUUUCUUGAGCUGAAAAAAAAAUCAGGACCCGGCAGAUUCAGGAAGAACUUUUACCCUUCUCUUAACUGCCUAAAAGAAUUUAGAUAAGGAGACUGGCUCAGAAAGAGAGCAAUUACCAGAGAGAACAUUUUUUUAUCUUAAAGAUGUAUUUGCAUGGCAAGGCAAACUCCUAAUUAUCAAACGUCUGCUCUUCUCAUCUGCCAGUGAAUUACCUUCUCCUCAGACCCCUAUCCCAUUCCCUGGUUCAGGAUGGCCUGUAAACCUCAAUCUCCCAACUUGCCCUUGGGUCUCACAUUUUUAUGGGGCUUCCAUACAUACAAAAUUAAAUUUGUUUUUCUCCUGUUAAUCUGUCUUAUGUCAAUUUAAUUAUUCUAUCAGCCAGAGGACCUAGAAGGGAAAUUUUUUUCAGCCCCUAACGUCUGACAGGUCUUCUUGAGGACAGUGAAGGCUGCAGAGGAUGGAUGCUGGUAGAGGGAUGGAUGGUGAGGAAGCUGAGCCAGAUGCUAAAAUUCUCCAGUCAUGGGCCUGCAAUGACCAGGAAAGGAGGCUGGAAGCUGACGUUGCCUGGUGGCUUGGGAGGGGCCAAUGGUGCUGUGAGAGCCCCACCCGCGCCUCCCCUGCCAGGGCUGAGGGAUCAGAACGUGCAACCUCCGCGGGCUGGGGGUAGGGGAGGGAGGGUACGAGGGGGCUGUGCUUGGCGAUCAGAGCAAGCCCCAAGCUGAGUCAGAGGGCAGAGGACGGGAAGGUCAUUUCCAGGAGAUGGGGCGAAAUCUCCCCGCGUUCCCCAGUGAUGGAACAGCGCCCAACGCGAGGGACACGGGGCAAGGAGUGAAAGGGAGGAUCAUGAGCCCGAGGAGGCUGGAAGACCUGGGAAGAGGAAGGGACUGGCUUUCAGACUGAGGACAACGCUGGCCGGCGACCAGGGUCAGCGCAGGGUACCGCAUUGACUGUAUCAGCGGUCCAGCAGCAGAAGAGCUCACCUUAAGACUUCAUCACAUCACAUCUGACGUGGCGAUCCACCCUGAUGCCACUCAGACUACUGCCAGACACUCUUGGCUUUAUCAGGGUCACACCCACAAACCAUCAGAUCCACACCAGGUCACACCGGGACUGGGACAGUGUGUGUACGGUCCGUGUUCACCAAAGUCCUGAGGCCCAGCUUUCUGUUGUUGCUCCAGUUUUUAAUUAGAUAUUUGAGAACUUAUCUAUACCUUAGGCCAUUUUUACUGCACUUCCCAAAAUAAACACAAGAUAUAAAUAAUUUAA